RNAcentral lists this ribosomal RNA (427 nucleotides) under uncultured bacterium. RNAcentral describes it as "partial 16S ribosomal RNA". It matches the Rfam family "Bacterial small subunit ribosomal RNA", at positions 355 to 774 of the family's 1533-position model. The record is from RNAcentral.
UGGGGAAUAUUGGACAAUGGGCGAAAGCCUGAUCCAGCCAUGCCGCGUGUGUGAAGAAGGUCUUCGGAUUGUAAAGCACUUUAAGUUGGGAGGAAGGGCAUUAACCUAAUACGUUAGUGUUUUGACGUUACCGACAGAAUAAGCACCGGCUAACUCUGUGCCAGCAGCCGCGGUAAUACAGAGGGUGCAAGCGUUAAUCGGAAUUACUGGGCGUAAAGCGCGCGUAGGUGGUUUGUUAAGUUGGAUGUGAAAUCCCCGGGCUCAACCUGGGAACUGCAUUCAAAACUGACUGACUAGAGUAUGGUAGAGGGUGGUGGAAUUUCCUGUGUAGCGGUGAAAUGCGUAGAUAUAGGAAGGAACACCAGUGGCGAAGGCGACCACCUGGGCUAAUACUGACACUGAGGUGCGAAAGCGUGGGGAGCAAGCA